This 467-nucleotide ribosomal RNA is filed under the name uncultured bacterium. RNAcentral's name for it is "partial 16S ribosomal RNA". It matches the Rfam family "Bacterial small subunit ribosomal RNA", at positions 28 to 506 of the family's 1533-position model. The record is from RNAcentral.
GAUGGACGCUGGCGGCGUGCUUAACACAUGCAAGUCGAACGGUGAAGGCGGAGCUUGCUCUGCUGGAUCAGUGGCGAACGGGUGAGUAACACGUGAGCAAUCUGCCCCUGACUCUGGGAUAAGCGCUGGAAACGGCGUCUAAUACUGGAUACGAGCUGCGAAGGCAUCUUCAGCAGCUGGAAAGAACUUCGGUCAGGGAUGAGCUCGCGGCCUAUCAGCUUGUUGGUGAGGUAACGGCUCACCAAGGCGUCGACGGGUAGCCGGUCUGAGAGGGUGACCGGCCACACUGGGACUGAGACACGGCCCAGACUCCUACGGGAGGCAGCAGUGGGGAAUAUUGCACAAGGGGCGAAAGCCUGAUGCAGCAACGCCGCGUGAGGGACGACGGCCUUCGGGUUGUAAACCUCUUUUAGCAGGGAAGAAGCGAAAGUGACGGUACCUGCAGAAAAAGCGCCGGCUAACUACGU